Molecule: ribosomal RNA, 240 nt
Filed under: Staphylococcus aureus
Lineage: Bacteria; Bacillati; Bacillota; Bacilli; Caryophanales; Staphylococcaceae
Description: partial 23S ribosomal RNA
Rfam family: Bacterial large subunit ribosomal RNA
Source: RNAcentral
UUAAUUUAACUUGGGAGUCAGAACAUGUGGUAUUAGGUCCGUGUUCGAAAGGGAAACAGCCCAGCCCACCAGCUAAGGUCCCAUAAUAUAUGUUAAGUGGAAAAGGAUGUGGCGUUGCCCAGACAACUAGGAUGUUGUCUUAGAAGCAGCCAACAUAUAAAGAGUGCGUAAUAGCUCACAAGUCGAGUGACACUGCGCCGAAAAUGUAACUGGGCUAAACAUAUUACCGAAGCUGUGGAU